GAUAAACGCUGGCGGCGUGCUUAACACAUGCAAGUCGAACGAAGUUUUUCCUUCGGGAGAAACUUAGUGGCGGACGGGUGAGUAACGCGUGGGUAACCUGCCCUGUACAGGGGGACAACAGCUGGAAACGGCUGCUAAUACCGCAUAAGCACUUAGCACUGCAUGGUGCAUAGGGAAAAGGAGCAAUCCGGUACAGGAUGGACCCGCGUCUGAUUAGCCAGUUGGCAGGGUAACGGCCUACCAAAGCGACGAUCAGUAGCCGAUCUGAGAGGAUGUACGGCCACAUUGGGACUGAGACACGGCCCAGACUCCUACGGGAGGCAGCAGUGGGGAAUAUUGCACAAUGGAGGAGACUCUGAUGCAGCGACGCCGCGUGAGUGAAGAAGUAUUUCGGUAUGUAAAGCUCUAUCAGCAGGGAAGAAAAUGACGGUACCUGACUAAGAAGCACCGGCUAAAUACGUG
Molecule: ribosomal RNA, 462 nt
Filed under: uncultured bacterium
Lineage: Bacteria
Description: partial 16S ribosomal RNA
Rfam family: Bacterial small subunit ribosomal RNA
Source: RNAcentral